UGCCCCAGCCCCUGUUUGGGACAGCAGCAGUGGCUGUGAGGACAGCUGGGACACAGGGGGGUUGUGCUGUGUGGGGAAAGAACCAGCUCAGAAAUGAAAAUCUUGACACAAGGGCUGGCUGUGGGACAUCAGGAGUGGCCAUGAGGACAGAGGGGUUGUGCUGUGUGAGAAGAGAACCAGCUCAGAAAUGAAAAUCUUGACACAAGGGCUGGCUGUGGGACAUCAGGAGUGGCCAUGAGGACAGAGGGGUUGUGCUGUGUGAGAAGAGAACCAGCUCAGAAAUGAAAAUCUUGACACAAGGGCUGGCUGUGGGACAUCAGGAGUGGCCAUGAGGACAGAGGGGUUGUGCUGUGUGAGAAGAGAACCAGCUCAGAAAUGAAAAUCUUGACACAAGGGCUGGCUGUGGGACAUCAGGAGUGGCCAUGAGGACAGAGGGGUUGUGCUGUGUGAGAAGAGAACCAGCUCAGAAAUGAAAAUCUUGACACAAGGGCUGGCUGUGGGACAUCAGGAGUGGCCAUGAGGACAGAGGGGUUGUGCUGUGUGAGAAGAGAACCAGCUCAGAAAUGAAAAUCUUGACACAAGGGCUGGCUGUGGGACAUCAGGAGUGGCCAUGAGGACAGAGGGGUUGUGCUGUGUGAGAAGAGAACCAGCUCAGAAAUGAAAAUCUUGACACAAGGGCUGGCUGUGGGACAUCAGGAGUGGCCAUGAGGACAGAGGGGUUGUGCUGUGUGAGAAGAGAACCAGCUCAGAAAUGAAAAUCUUGACACAAGGGCUGGCUGUGGGACAUCAGGAGUGGCCAUGAGGACAGAGGGGUUGUGCUGUGUGAGAAGAGAACCAGCUCAGAAAUGAAAAUCUUGACACAAGGGCUGGCUGUGGGACAUCAGGAGUGGCCAUGAGGACAGAGGGGUUGUGCUGUGUGAGAAGAGAACCAGCUCAGAAAUGAAAAUCUUGACACAAGGGCUGGCUGUGGGACAUCAGGAGUGGCCAUGAGGACAGAGGGGUUGUGCUGUGUGAGAAGAGAACCAGCUCAGAAAUGAAAAUCUUGACACAAGGGCUGGCUGUGGGACAUCAGGAGUGGCCAUGAGGACAGAGGGGUUGUGCUGUGUGAGAAGAGAACCAGCUCAGAAAUGAAAAUCUUGACACAAGGGCUGGCUGUGGGACAUCAGGAGUGGCCAUGAGGACAGAGGGGUUGUGCUGUGUGAGAAGAGAACCAGCUCAGAAAUGAAAAUCUUGACACAAGGGCUGGCUGUGGGACAUCAGGAGUGGCCAUGAGGACAGAGGGGUUGUGCUGUGUGAGAAGAGAACCAGCUCAGAAAUGCAGUUCUUGGCUCUGUGUCAGCUCAGCACCAGGAAAGCAGAGCCAGCAGCCACCAGUGUUUGGUGGCUUCUGUCCCACAGUAAGAGGUGCUGUAAGGAAUAAUUAAAAAGGCUCACAGAGAAGAUUUUAUUGUAAAGAACAGCCCUCAGUGCUGAAAGGCAGGAAGACACUCCAUGCUCUGAAAAGCUUGGAGUCCAGUUGAGGCAAUGAACAGACCUGAGGGGCUGAAGUGCCAAGAGAUAAGAGCCGGAGAAUGAGGGUGUGACUUCUCAGGUGCAGAAUUAUGCAGCUGCUUGGCUCUGAGGGGAGAAAACCUGGAGAAAUUUGCCUAGAAGUUGGUUUUCAAGUUCAUUUCCCAGUUAGAAACUUACAGAAUCAGGUACAGAAUCAGUCAGGUACAAAUCCUCACCUGCAUCUAAGAGGAGGAUCCCAUCACCACGAGGCU
Ficedula albicollis (Collared flycatcher) is the source of this 1763-nucleotide long non-coding RNA. RefSeq lists it as uncharacterized. The record is from RefSeq and is a predicted model, not a curated record. The transcript has 3 exons. Lineage: Eukaryota; Metazoa; Chordata; Aves; Passeriformes; Muscicapidae.